Molecule: small nuclear RNA, 107 nt
Organism: Dromiciops gliroides (monito del monte)
Lineage: Eukaryota; Metazoa; Chordata; Mammalia; Microbiotheria; Microbiotheriidae
Source: RefSeq, a predicted model, not a curated record
GUGUUCGCUUUGGAAAUACCUAUACUAAAAUUGCAACUAUGCAGAAAAAACUAGCAUUGCCCUAGUACAAGGAUGACAUGCACCUUCAUGAAGCAUUCCAUAUUUCU